This 513-nucleotide ribosomal RNA is filed under the name uncultured bacterium. RNAcentral describes it as "partial 16S ribosomal RNA". It matches the Rfam family "Bacterial small subunit ribosomal RNA", at positions 28 to 523 of the family's 1533-position model. The record is from RNAcentral.
GACGAACGCUGGCGGCGUGCCUAAUACAUGCAAGUUGAGCGCUGAAGGUUGGUACUUGUACCGACUGGAUGAGCAGCGAACGGGUGAGUAACGCGUGGGGAAUCUGCCUUUGAGCGGGGGACAACAUUUGGAAACGAAUGCUAAUACCGCAUAAAAACUUUAAACACAAGUUUUAAGUUUGAAAGAUGGAAUUGCAUCACUCAAAGAUGAUCCCGCGUUGUAUUAGCUAGUUGGUGAGGUAAAGGCUCACCAAGGCGAUGAUACAUAGCCGACCUGAGAGGGUGAUCGGCCACAUUGGGACUGAGACACGGCCCAAACUCCUACGGGAGGCAGCAGUAGGGAAUCUUCGGCAGUGGACGAAAGUCUGACCGAGCAACGCCGCGUGAGUGAAGAAGGUUUUCGGAUCGUAAAACUCUGUUGGUAGAGAAGAACGUUGGUGAGGGUGGAAAGCUCAUCAAGUGACGGUAACUACCCAGAAAGGGACAGCUAACUACGUGCCAGCAGCCGCAGUAA